This 108-nucleotide transfer RNA is filed under the name Rattus norvegicus (Norway rat). It matches the Rfam family "tRNA". Rfam says of the family: Transfer RNA (tRNA) molecules are approximately 80 nucleotides in length. The record is from Rfam by way of RNAcentral. Lineage: Eukaryota; Metazoa; Chordata; Mammalia; Rodentia; Muridae.
GGGGAUUUAGCUCAGUGGUAGAGCGCUUACCUAGGAAGCGCAAGGCCCUGGGUUCGGUCCCCAGCUCUGCUCUUCCAGAGGUCCUGAGUUCAAAUCUCAGCAACCACA